This 509-nucleotide ribosomal RNA is filed under the name Pterulina distinctissima. RNAcentral's name for it is "partial large subunit ribosomal RNA". The record is from RNAcentral. Lineage: Eukaryota; Metazoa; Arthropoda; Insecta; Phasmatodea; Phasmatidae.
GGGAGAAUCCUGAAUUCGAAAGGGGUCGGAUUCCACUGCAUCCGGUAUGUCCAGGCCACCCACCGCCAGAUGGCGUCGGUCGCCCGCGGCGAUUCACUUCGCCUGCGGGGUCGCAUUCGGCGUUCACUCGGCGUGUGCGGUGUAUCGCUCUGGAGCUCGGAGCGGCGCACUUCCUCCCUAGUAGAAACGUCGCGACCCGUUGGGUGCCGGUCAAAGGCCCGGGCAGGCAGCCCGUGCGUUCCGCGGCGGGUAAAACCGUCGCGGGCGCGCGGACGUCCGGUGACCCGGCCGGCCGCCCGACGGUAAGACAGAGGAGUCGAUCCGCUGAAUGAGAAGCACUUUGGUAUGUGAAGCGUCCGGCCCAACGCCGACGCGCGCGGGGUAAUUCCGGCUGGUUAGGGUGUCCGUGCGGCGUCACGGCCCCGCCCCCGUCGCGCCGUCGGUCGUCUGGUGUCCUCGGACYGGAUCAGAACUCCCGUCUGCGACGCCCACCUUCGGAUGGUCUCCCG